AUAAAAAAAUAUAUUGUGAAUGCUCUAAGAACACAAAAUAUAUUGACAUCAUAUGCAGAAAGCCAUAAUCUAGGAACAAGUGUAUUUAAAAUCAAAAUAUCAAAGUAUAUUGUAACAAAUUAGAAAACCGGCCACCUGCAAAAUGGCGUACUCGUAACGCAAUCAAGACCUAUAUUAUACACAGCCUUCUUUUGUUCCGAAGAAAAAACGAAUGAUUCACUACCCGACAUAUAACCAAGUGAUUUACAACAAUUCCAGUUUGGUCACUAAUUUUGGUCAUCAACUUCCCUCUUUCUGCUUCUACCAUCUUAUACAUCAACUCGAGACCCAUGACGCGAAAAAAUGAACUUACGGCCUCUUUGCUAACGUCUUCAUCAUACCCUUAACGAUCUUCCCAAACCACAUCAAGUUCAUGGCACCAAGCACCGAUGGAACCAUAAAUACCAAAAGAACCCCGAUUUCAUGCAUCUGUAUCACCUGAAGCGUCUUAAGGGGUGUUUGGAUGCGUAUUUUGAAAAUUUCAAGGUAAUACAAGGAGGUGUAAUAAUUGGACAAUCAGUUAUUUAA
This 567-nucleotide long non-coding RNA is filed under the name Helianthus annuus (common sunflower). Its description in RNAcentral is "sRNA HanXRQr2_Chr07g0290071". The record is from RNAcentral. Lineage: Eukaryota; Viridiplantae; Streptophyta; Magnoliopsida; Asterales; Asteraceae.